RNAcentral lists this ribosomal RNA (442 nucleotides) under uncultured bacterium. Its description in RNAcentral is "partial 16S ribosomal RNA". It matches the Rfam family "Bacterial small subunit ribosomal RNA", at positions 338 to 795 of the family's 1533-position model. The record is from RNAcentral.
CCUACGGGAGGCAGCAGUGGGGAAUAUUGCACAAUGGGCGAAAGCCUGAUGCAGCAACGCCGCGUGAAGGAAGACGGUUUUCGGAUUGUAACUUCCUACCAAAGGGAAGGAAAGAAUUACCGGUCCCAAAAAAGGAACCCCGGCUAACUACGUUCCAGCAGCCGCGGGAAUACGUUGGGGGCAAGCGUUAUCCGGAAUUACUGGGUGUAAAGGGAGAGUAGGCGGCAAGGUAAGCGAUAUGUGAAAGCCUUAGGCUUAACCAAAGGAUUGCAUAACGAACUAUCUAGCUAGAGUACAGGAGAGGAAAGCGGAAUUCCUAGUGUAGCGGUGAAAUGCGUAGAUAUUAGGAAGAACACCAGUGGCGAAGGCGGCUUUCUGGACUGAAACUGACGCUGAGGCUCGAAAGCGUGGGGAGCGAACAGGAUUAGAUACCCGGGUAGUC